UCCGGUUUGGCACCGGCGGUCUCCGAUGAGUCCCCGGCAUUACCCGCUGGCAACAUCGGACAGGGGUUGCGCUCGUUGCGCCACUUAAGGCAACACCUCACGGCACGAGCUGACGACAGCCAUGCAGCACCUGUGCGGGCUCCCGAAGGAGGACCGGCUUUCACCGGCUUCACCCCGCAUGUCAAGCCCUGGUAAGGUGGGGAUGACGUGUCACAGACUAUAC
Molecule: unclassified non-coding RNA, 223 nt
Filed under: uncultured Actinomycetes bacterium
Lineage: Bacteria; Bacillati; Actinomycetota; Actinomycetes
Description: uncultured actinobacterium contains 16S-23S intergenic spacer region
Source: RNAcentral